RNAcentral lists this ribosomal RNA (480 nucleotides) under uncultured Sphingobacteriales bacterium. Its description in RNAcentral is "bacterial SSU rRNA". It matches the Rfam family "Bacterial small subunit ribosomal RNA", at positions 900 to 1382 of the family's 1533-position model. The record is from RNAcentral. Lineage: Bacteria; Pseudomonadati; Bacteroidota; Sphingobacteriia; Sphingobacteriales.
CUCAAAUGAAUUGACGGGGCCCGCACAAGCGGAGGAACAUGUGGUUUAAUUCGAUGAUACGCGAGGAACCUUACCUGGGCUUAAAUGUAGACUGCAUUCCGCCGAAAGGUGGAUUUCCUUCGGGACUCUUUACAAGGUGCUGCAUGGUUGUCGUCAGCUCGUGCCGUGAGGUGUCGGGUUAAGUCCCAUAACGAGCGCAACCCUUAUCGUUAGUUGCCAGCGGGUAAUGCCGGGAACUCUAACGAAACUGCCGGUGUAAACCGUGAGGAAGGUGGGAUGACGUCAAAUCAGCACGGCCCUUAUGUCCAGGGCUACACACGUGUUACAAUGGCCGGUACAGAGGGCAGCUACCUGGAGACAGGAUGCGAAUCUCGAAAGCCGGUCUCAGUUCGGAUCGGAGUCUGCAACUCGACUCCGUGAAGCUGGAUUCGCUAGUAAUCGCGCAUCAGCCAUGGCGCGGUGAAUACGUUCCCGGGGCUU